This 418-nucleotide long non-coding RNA is filed under the name Mustela putorius furo (domestic ferret). RNAcentral's name for it is "lncRNA (ENSMPUG00000026669.1)". The record is from RNAcentral. Lineage: Eukaryota; Metazoa; Chordata; Mammalia; Carnivora; Mustelidae.
UUUUGCUUUAGGAAUCAGAUUUAGUUUCUAGAGGUUUCUGUUGAGGAAUUUUUUUUUCUUGCUAACGGAAGACCAGAUUCUGCUCUUGUCUCUUGGGACUUGUUUUUUUUUUUGUUUUUUUUUUUUAAAAGCCCGGCUGAAUUCACUAGUAAAUCUUGAAUGUGAAGAACAGGAAGUGAGUCCACUGAGGGAGACAGAAGGUGGCCUUAUCGAAAGUAAAAGAAAACUUCUUCCUGGAGGUGUUUCCAUCCACACUCUCCUCAUCCCCACCCUCUUUCAAGGGAUUUUUCUCGGGCUGGGUGGACAGGCCUUAGGAGUCUGUGACGUUAGGCCGUUCGGGGGUCUUGGCAUCGGGUGCUCUGUGGAUGUCGCUGGGACAGGGGGACCAGCAUUAAAUGGGGUUCAUACUACCUCGUGA